CCUACGGGAGGCUGCAGUGGGGAAUAUUGGGCAAUGGAGGAAACUCUGACCCAGCAACGCCGCGUGAAUGAUGAAGGUCUUCGGAUUGUAAAGUUCUUUUCUAAGGGAAGAAGAAAGUGACGGUACCUUAGGAAUAAGCCUCGGUUAACUACGUGCCAGCAGCCGCGGUAAUACGUAGGAGGCAAGCGUUAUCCGGAAUGACUGGGCGGAAAGGGUGCGUAGGUGGUUUGACAAGUUGGUAGCGUAACUCCGGGGCUCAACCUCGGCACUACUAGCAAAACUGUCUGACUUGAGUGCAGGAGGGGCAAAUGGAAUUCCUAGUGUAGCGGUGGAAUGCUUAGAUAUUAGGAGGAACACCAGUGGCGAAGGCGAUUUGCUAGACUGUAACUGACACGGAGGCACGAAAGCGUGGGGAGCAAACAGGAUUAGAUACCCUGGUAGUC
Molecule: ribosomal RNA, 443 nt
Filed under: uncultured bacterium
Lineage: Bacteria
Description: partial 16S ribosomal RNA
Rfam family: Bacterial small subunit ribosomal RNA
Source: RNAcentral